CGCGUUAAUGCGUGAUGGCGUGCCUUUUGUAGAAUGAACCGGCGAGUUAUGAUCCCGUGCAAGGUUAAGACUAAAAAGUCGGAGCCGUAGCGAAAGCGAGUCUGAAAUGGGCGUUUUGAGUACGAGGUUAUAGACCCGAAACCAGGUGACCUAUCCAUGUCCAGGUUGAAGGUGCGGUAAAACGCACUGGAGGACCGAACCCGUGUAAGUUGAAAAUUGCUGGGAUG
RNAcentral lists this ribosomal RNA (227 nucleotides) under Lactiplantibacillus plantarum. RNAcentral describes it as "partial 23S ribosomal RNA". It matches the Rfam family "Bacterial large subunit ribosomal RNA", at positions 580 to 806 of the family's 2925-position model. The record is from RNAcentral. Lineage: Bacteria; Bacillati; Bacillota; Bacilli; Lactobacillales; Lactobacillaceae.